Molecule: ribosomal RNA, 467 nt
Filed under: uncultured bacterium
Lineage: Bacteria
Description: bacterial SSU rRNA
Rfam family: Bacterial small subunit ribosomal RNA
Source: RNAcentral
CCCAGACUCCUACGGGAGGCAGCAGUGAGGAAUAUUGGUCAAUGGGCGGGAGCCUGAACCAGCCAAGUCGCGUGAGGGAAGACGGUCCUACGGAUUGUAAACCUCUUUUGCCGGGGAGCAACGGGGUCCUUGCGAGGGCCCAAUGAGAGUACCCGGAGAAAAAGCAUCGGCUAACUCCGUGCCAGCAGCCGCGGUAAUACGGAGGAUGCGAGCGUUAUCCGGAUUUAUUGGGUUUAAAGGGUGCGUAGGCGAGCUGAUAAGUCGGGGGUAAAAUGUGGGGGCUCAACCCCGGCCUGCCGUUGAAACUGGCGGCCUCGAGUGGGCGAGAAGUAUGCGGAAUGCGUGGUGUAGCGUGGAAAUGCAUAGAUAUCACGCAGAACUCCGAUUGCGAAGGCAGCAUACCGGCGCGCAACUGACGCUCAUGCACGAAAGCGUGGGUAUCGAACAGGAUUAGAUACCCGAGUAAU